This 477-nucleotide ribosomal RNA is filed under the name uncultured Pseudoalteromonas sp. Its description in RNAcentral is "bacterial SSU rRNA". It matches the Rfam family "Bacterial small subunit ribosomal RNA", at positions 97 to 570 of the family's 1533-position model. Lineage: Bacteria; Pseudomonadati; Pseudomonadota; Gammaproteobacteria; Alteromonadales; Pseudoalteromonadaceae. The record is from RNAcentral.
GGCGGACGGGUGAGUAAUGCUUGGGAAUGUGCCUUAUGGUGGGGGACAACAGUUGGAAACGACUGCUAAUACCGCAUAAUGUCUUCGGACCAAAGUGGGGGACCUUCGGGCCUCACGCCAUAAGAUCAGCCCAAGUGGGAUUAGCUAGUUGGUAAGGUAAUGGCUUACCAAGGCGACGAUCCCUAGCUGGUUUGAGAGGAUGAUCAGCCACACUGGGACUGAGACACGGCCCAGACUCCUACGGGAGGCAGCAGUGGGGAAUAUUGCACAAUGGGCGCAAGCCUGAUGCAGCCAUGCCGCGUGUGUGAAGAAGGCCUUCGGGUUGUAAAGCACUUUCAGUAAGGAGGAAAGGUUAAGUGUUAAUAGCACUUAGCUGUGACGUUACUUACAGAGGAAGCACCGGCUAACUCCGUGCCAGCAGCCGCGGUAAUACGGAGGGUGCGAGCGUUAAUCGGAAUUACUGGGCGUAAAGCGUAC